GGGAUGCUGGUCGCGUCCAUGCGCACCCAGAACCCUUUGUGAACUUAUACCUUUUGUUGCCUCGGCGCAUGCUGGCCUCUAGUAGGCCCCUCACCCCGGUGAGGAGACGGCACGCCGGCGGCCAAGUUAACUCUUGUUUUUACACUGAAACUCUGAGAAAAAACACAAAUGAAUCAAAACUUUCAACAACGGAUCUCUUGGUUCUGGCAUCGAUGAAGAACGCAGCGAAAUGCGAUAAGUAAUGUGAAUUGCAGAAUUCAGUGAAUCAUCGAAUCUUUGAACGCACAUUGCGCCCUCUGGUAUUCCGGAGGGCAUGCCUGUUCGAGCGUCAUUUCAACCCUCAAGCACUGCUUGGUGUUGGGGCACUGCUUCUGACGAAGCAGGCCCUGAAAUCUAGUGGCGAGCUCGCCAGGACCCCGAGCGCAGUAGUUAAACCCUCGCUCUGGAAGGCCCUGGCGGUGCCCUGCCGUUAAACCCCCAACUUCUGAAAAUUUGACCUCGGAUCAGGUAGGAAUACCCGCUGAACUUAAGCAUAUCAAAGGCCGGGAGGAAA
Molecule: ribosomal RNA, 553 nt
Filed under: Diaporthe sp. PKU F4
Lineage: Eukaryota; Fungi; Ascomycota; Sordariomycetes; Diaporthales; Diaporthaceae
Description: eukaryotic LSU rRNA
Rfam family: 5.8S ribosomal RNA (bases 178-331)
Source: RNAcentral